AACGCGAAGAACCUUACCAGCCCUUGACAUGUCCCGUAUGAGUACCAGAGAUGGAACUCUUCAGUUCGGCUGGCGGGAACACAGGUGCUGCAUGGCUGUCGUCAGCUCGUGCCGUGAGAUGUUGGGUUAAGUCCCGCAACGAGCGCAACCCUUACCCUUAGUUGCUCAUCCGAAAGGAAAGCACCCUAAGGGAACUGCCUGGGAUAACCAGGAGGAAGGUGGGGAUGACGUCAAGUCCUCAUGGCCUUUAUGCCCAGGGCUACACACGUGCUACAAUGGCCGGUACAAAACGUCGCAAACCCGCGAGGGGGAGCCAAUCGCUAAAAACCGGUCUCAGUUCGGAUUGCAGUCUGCAACUCGGCUGCAUGAAGCUGGAAUCGCUAGUAAUCGCGUAUCAGAACGACGCGGUGAAUACGUUCCCGGGCCUUGUACACACCGACGCGUA
Molecule: ribosomal RNA, 445 nt
Filed under: uncultured bacterium
Lineage: Bacteria
Description: bacterial SSU rRNA
Rfam family: Bacterial small subunit ribosomal RNA
Source: RNAcentral